AACAUUACCUGGCAGUGGAGAUACUAUGAUCACGAAGGUGGUUUUCCCAGGGCAAGGCUUACCCAUUUCACUUUGGAUGUGCUGACCCCUGCAAUUUCCCCAAAUGUGGGAAACUCAUCUGCAUAGUUUGUGAUAGUGGGGGACUGCAUUUGUGCUCUCCCCUG
This is a small nuclear RNA of Phyllostomus discolor (pale spear-nosed bat), 164 nucleotides long. RefSeq annotates it as U1 spliceosomal RNA. Lineage: Eukaryota; Metazoa; Chordata; Mammalia; Chiroptera; Phyllostomidae. The record is from RefSeq and is a predicted model, not a curated record. The transcript has a single exon.